Long non-coding RNA from Oreochromis niloticus (Nile tilapia), 810 nucleotides. RefSeq lists it as uncharacterized. The record is from RefSeq and is a predicted model, not a curated record. The transcript is spliced from 3 exons. Lineage: Eukaryota; Metazoa; Chordata; Actinopteri; Cichliformes; Cichlidae.
UCAUCUCGCCUGCCAAGCCACAUCCAGCGCACACUGCGUCUGCCAAGCCACGCCCACGUCCAGCACAGCCAGCUCGGCCGGCACAUCCUGCAUGGCCGUGCCCAGCACAGUUUCGUCCGGCGCCUGCCAAGACAGCCCAUCCACAGAAACCCACCAAACCGUUGCCACCGUUGGACCCGUGGCGAGCCUCCUGAACUGUGCCGCUGCCACUUUCCAUGUGGCCGGCUCUCUGAUCUGCUCCGUGUCAUGAUCUGGGUGGGUACCUGCAGGUCUCCAACAGCGGCUCCUCCUCCUUUAGGCGGAGAUAGGUUGCUCCUCCCUGGCUGACCACCUGUGGGCAAUUAUUCCGGCAGCAUAUUAGACCUGCGCUCUCAACCGUUCAUCGCCUGAGUAUCUGCUAUCCCAUAGGUAGCUCCUGGAGUGGAGGUCUCGCCUCCCUCAUUCCCGCUUUCCUGGACCUGGGCCACCUGCUGCUGAUACGAUGUUGCCAACUGGUCCACCACUCGCUUGCCUGCCUCCCCACGUCACGACCGCAUCCGGGCCUUCCGCCCUAUCCGUCCCCUCCACCUGAAACCAAUGCCCCGGCCACUUCCUAGUCCAGUUUCCACCUCCCCACAGCCUCUGUUGUUCAGCUGCAUCCUAGAGUUGUCUAGGUCACUCUUAGUUACCUUAGGUUUUACUGCGCGCCACUAGUGUGGUGGCGUCGUUUUGUUUUCGCUUAUGUUUACUUGUGGGUGGAAAUAAAUCCUUUGUUCACUUACCGUCUCGCUUCCGGUUUGGUUUCUGCACUUGUGUCCAUCUCAGUUACCU